AUUGAACGCUGGCGGCAGGCCUAACACAUGCAAGUCGAACGGUAGCACAGAGAGCUUGCUCUCGGGUGACGAGUGGCGGACGGGUGAGUAACGUCUGGGAAACUGCCCGAUGGAGGGGGAUAACUACUGGAAACGGUAGCUAAUACCGCAUAACGUCGCAAGACCAAAGUGGGGGACCUUCGGGCCUCACACCAUCGGAUGUGCCCAGGUGGGAUUAGCUAGUAGGUGGGGUAAUGGCUCACCUAGGCGACGAUCCCUAGCUGGUCUGAGAGGAUGACCAGCCACACUGGAACGGGGACACGGGCCAGACUCCUACGGGAGGCAGCAGUGGGGAAUAUUGCACAAUGGGCGAAAGCCUGAUGCAGCCAUGCCGCGUGUAUGAAGAAGGCCUUCGGGUUGUAAAGUACUUUCAGCGGGGAGGAAGGCGGUGAAGUUAAUAGCUUCACCGAUAGACGUUACCCGCAGAAGAAGCACCGGCUAACUACGUGCCAGCCGCCGCCGUAA
RNAcentral lists this ribosomal RNA (504 nucleotides) under uncultured bacterium. RNAcentral's name for it is "partial 16S ribosomal RNA". It matches the Rfam family "Bacterial small subunit ribosomal RNA", at positions 29 to 523 of the family's 1533-position model. The record is from RNAcentral.